RNAcentral lists this ribosomal RNA (818 nucleotides) under uncultured bacterium. Its description in RNAcentral is "bacterial SSU rRNA". It matches the Rfam family "Bacterial small subunit ribosomal RNA", at positions 48 to 860 of the family's 1533-position model. The record is from RNAcentral.
UUUACACAUGCAAGUCGAACGGCAGCACGGACUUCGGUCUGGUGGCGAGUGGCGAACGGGUGAGUAAUAUAUCGGAACGUAUCCAAUAAUGGGGGAUAACUAAUCGAAAGGUUGGCUAAUACCGCAUACGCCCUACGGGGGAAAGCUAGGGAUCUUCGGACCUGGCGUUAAUGGAGCGGCUGAUAUCUGAUUAGCUAGUAGGUGAGGUAAAGGCUCACCUAGGCGACGAUCAGUAGCUGGUCUGAGAGGACGACCAGCCACACUGGAACUGAGACACGGUCCAGACUCCUACGGGAGGCAGCAGUGGGGAAUUUUGGACAAUGGGCGAAAGCCUGAUCCAGCCAUUCCGCGUGAGUGAAGAAGGCCUUUGGGUUGUAAAGCUUUUUCGCAAGGGAAGAAAACUUAGGCGCUAAUAUCGCCUGAGGUUGACGGUACCUUGAUAAGAAGCACCGGCUAACUACGUGCCAGCAGCCGCGGUAAUACGUAGGGUGCGAGCGUUAAUCGGAAUUACUGGGCGUAAAGCGUGCGCAGGCGGUUUUGUAAGUCAGAUGUGAAAUCCCCGAGCUCAACUUGGGAACUGCGUUUGAAACUAUAAGACUAGAAUAUGUCAGAGGGGGGUAGAAUUCCACGUGUAGCAGUGAAAUGCGUAGAGAUGUGGAGGAAUACCAAUGGCGAAGGCAGCCCCCUGGGAUAAUAUUGACGCUCAUGCACGAAAGCGUGGGGAGCAAACAGGAUUAGAUACCCUGGUAGUCCACGCCCUAAACGAUGUCUACUAGUUGUUGGUGGAGUAAAAUCCAUGAGUAACGCAGCUAACGCGU